GGACAGUGUCUGGUGGGUAGUUUGACUGGGGCGGUCUCCUCCUAAAGAGUAACGGAGGAGCACGAAGGUCAGCUAAUCCUGGUCGGACAUCAGGAGGUUAGUGCAAUGGCAUAAGCUGGCUUGACUGCGAGCGUGACGGCGCGAGCAGGUGCGAAAGCAGGUCAUAGUGAUCCGGUGGUUCUGAAUGGAAGGGCCAUCGCUCAACGGAUAAAAGGUACUCCGGGGAUAACAGGCUGAUACCGCCCAAGAGUUCAUAUCGACGGCGGUGUUUGGCACCUCGAUGUCGGCUCAUCACAUCCUGGGGCUGAAGUAGGUCCCAAGGGUAUGGCUGUUCGCCAUUUAAAGUGGUACGCGAGCUGGGUUUAGAACGUCGUGAGACAGUUCGGUCCCUAUCUGCCGUGGGCGCUGGAGAAUUGAGGGGGGCUGCUCCUAGUACGAGAGGACCGGAGUGGACGCAUCACUGGUGUUCGGGUUGUCAUGCCAAUGGCAUUGCCCGGUAGCUAAAUGCGGAAGAGAUAAGUGCUGAAAGCAUCUAAGCACGAAACUUGCCCC
Molecule: ribosomal RNA, 552 nt
Filed under: Klebsiella michiganensis
Lineage: Bacteria; Pseudomonadati; Pseudomonadota; Gammaproteobacteria; Enterobacterales; Enterobacteriaceae
Description: partial 23S ribosomal RNA
Rfam family: Bacterial large subunit ribosomal RNA
Source: RNAcentral